This 254-nucleotide ribosomal RNA is filed under the name uncultured bacterium. RNAcentral's name for it is "partial 16S ribosomal RNA". It matches the Rfam family "Bacterial small subunit ribosomal RNA", at positions 524 to 776 of the family's 1533-position model. The record is from RNAcentral.
UACGGGGGGAGCAAGCGUUGUUCGGAUUUACUGGGCGUAAAGGGUGUGUAGGCGGUUGUUUAAGUUUGGUGUGAAAUCUCCCGGCUCAACCGGGAGGGUGCGCCGAAUACUGAAUGACUUCGAGUGCGGGAGAGGAGAGUGGAAUUCCUGGUGUAGCGGUGAAAUGCGUAGAUAUCAGGAGGAACACCGGUGGUGUAGACGGCUCUCUGGACCGUAACUGACGCUGAGACACGAAAGCGUGGGUAGCAAACAGG